CCUACGUGUGGCAGCAGUGAGGACUAUUGGUCAAUGGACGAGAGUCUGAACCAGCCACGUAGCGUGAAGGAUGACUGCUCUCUGGGUUGUAAACUUCUUUUAUAUGGGAAUAAAACGUUCCACGUGUGGGAGUUUGUAUGUACCAUAUGAACAAGGCGCGGCUAACUCCGUGCCAGCAGCAGCGGGAAUACGGAGGAUACGCGCGGUAGCCGGAUUGAGUGGGUUUAAAGGGAGCGUAGGUGGAUAGUAAAGUCAGUUGUGAAAGUUUGCGGCUCAACCGGAGAAUUGCAUUUGAAAAUGGCAGUGUUGAGUACAGUAGAGGUGGGCGGAAUUCGUGGUGGAGCGGUGAAAUGCGUAGAUAUCACGAAGAACUCCGGUUGCGAAGGCAGUUCACUGGACUGCAACUGACACUGAGGCUCGAAAGUGUGGGUAUCAAACAGGAGUAGAUACCCGGGUAGUC
This 460-nucleotide ribosomal RNA is filed under the name uncultured bacterium. RNAcentral describes it as "partial 16S ribosomal RNA". It matches the Rfam family "Bacterial small subunit ribosomal RNA", at positions 338 to 795 of the family's 1533-position model. The record is from RNAcentral.